This 74-nucleotide transfer RNA is filed under the name Myxococcota bacterium. RNAcentral's name for it is "tRNA-Ile". It matches the Rfam family "tRNA". Rfam says of the family: Transfer RNA (tRNA) molecules are approximately 80 nucleotides in length. Their secondary structure includes four short double-helical elements and three loops (D, anti-codon, and T loops). Lineage: Bacteria; Pseudomonadati; Myxococcota. The record is from RNAcentral.
GGGCCCGUAGCUCAGUUGGUCAGAGCACCCGGCUCAUAACCGGAGGGUCCCAGGUUCGAGUCCUGGUGGGCCCA